GACGAACGCUGGCGGCGUGCUUAACACAUGCAAGUCGAACGGAAAGGCUCCAGCUUGCUGGCGUACUCGAGUGGCGAACGGGUGAGUAACACGUGGGUAAUCUGCCCUGCACUCUGGGAUAGGCCUGGGAAACUGGGUCUAAUACUGGAUAUGACCUUUCUCCUUAUGGGGUUUGGUGGAAAGUUUUUCGGUGUAGGAUGAGCCCGCGGCCUAUCAGCUUGUUGGUGGGGUGAUGGCCUACCAAGGCGACGACGGGUAGCCGGCCUGAGAGGGUGAUCGGCCACAUUGGGACUGAGAUACGGCCCAGACUCCUACGGGAGGCAGCAGUGGGGAAUAUUGCACAAUGGGCGGAAGCCUGAUGCAGCGACGCCGCGUGAGGGAUGACGGCCUUCGGGUUGUAAACCUCUUUCAGCAGGGACGAAGCGUAAGUGACGGUACCUGCAGAAGAAGCACCGGCUAACUAUGUG
Molecule: ribosomal RNA, 467 nt
Filed under: uncultured bacterium
Lineage: Bacteria
Description: partial 16S ribosomal RNA
Rfam family: Bacterial small subunit ribosomal RNA
Source: RNAcentral